GUCUGGUCUAAAUGCAGUGGUAUUUACAACUAAUUGAUUACAACCAGUUACGGAUUUCUUUGUUCCUUCUCCACUUCCACUGCUUUACUUGACUAGCCUUAG
Rhinopithecus bieti (black snub-nosed monkey) is the source of this 102-nucleotide unclassified non-coding RNA. It matches the Rfam family "Y RNA". Rfam says of the family: Y RNAs are components of the Ro ribonucleoprotein particle (Ro RNP), in association with Ro60 and La proteins. The Y RNAs and Ro60 and La proteins are well conserved, but the function of the Ro RNP is not known. NCBI's taxonomy places the organism in Eukaryota, Metazoa, Chordata, Mammalia, Primates, Cercopithecidae. The record is from Ensembl.